GAUGAACGCUGGCGGCGUGCUUAAUACAUGCAAGUCGAGCGAACGGACGAGAAGCUUGCUUCUCUGAUGUUAGCGGCGGACGGGUGAGUAACACGUGGAUACCCUACUUAUAAGACUGGGAUAACUUCGGGACACCGGAUCUAACACCGGAUAAUAUUUUGAACCGCAUGGUUCAUAAGUGAAAGACGGUCUUGCUGUCACUUAUAGAUGGUUCCGAGCUGCAUUAGGUAGUUGGUAAGGUAACGGCUUACCAAGGCGACGAUGCGUAGCCGACCUGAGAGGGUGAUCGGCCACACUGGAACUGAGACACGGUCCAGACUCCUACGGGAGGCAGCAGUAGGGAAUCUUCCGCAAUGGGCGAAAGCCUGACGGAGCAACGCCGCGUGAGUGAUGAAGGUCUUCGGAUCGUAAAACUCUGUUAUUGGGGAAGAACAGAUGUGUAAGUAACUGUGCACAUCUUGACGGUACCUAAUCAGAAAGCCACGGCUAACUACGUG
This 497-nucleotide ribosomal RNA is filed under the name uncultured bacterium. RNAcentral describes it as "partial 16S ribosomal RNA". It matches the Rfam family "Bacterial small subunit ribosomal RNA", at positions 28 to 507 of the family's 1533-position model. The record is from RNAcentral.